Molecule: ribosomal RNA, 466 nt
Filed under: uncultured bacterium
Lineage: Bacteria
Description: partial 16S ribosomal RNA
Rfam family: Bacterial small subunit ribosomal RNA
Source: RNAcentral
GACGAACGCUGGCGGCGUGCUUAACACAUGCAAGUUGAACGGAAAGGCCCUGCUUGCAGGGUACUCGAGUGGCGAACGGGUGAGUAACACGUGGGUGAUCUGCCCUGCACUUCGGGAUAAGCUUGGGAAACUGGGUCUAAUACCGGAUAGGAGCCAUCUUUAGUGUGGUGGUUGGAAAGUUUUUUCGGUGUAGGAUGAGCUCGCGGCCUAUCAGCUUGUUGGUGGGGUAAUGGCCUACCAAGGCGGCGACGGGUAGCCGGCCUGAGAGGGUGUACGGCCACAUUGGGACUGAGAUACGGCCCAGACUCCUACGGGAGGCAGCAGUGGGGAAUAUUGCACAAUGGGCGCAAGCCUGAUGCAGCGACGCCGCGUGGGGGAUGAAGGCCUUCGGGUUGUAAACUCCUUUCGCUAGGGACGAAGCUUUUUUGUGACGGUACCUAGAUAAGAAGCACCGGCUAACUACGUG